GUGGGGAAUCUUCCGCAAUGGACGAAAGUCUGACGGAGCAACGCCGCGUGAGUGAAGAAGGUUUUCGGAUCGUAAAGCUCUUUCGUUAGGGACGAACGUGCUCUUUGUGAAUAAUGAGGAGUAAUGACGGUACCUAAAUAAGAAGCCACGGCUAACUACGUGCCAGCAGCCGCGGUAAUACGUAGGUGGCAAGCGUUGUCCGGAAUUAUUGGGCGUAAAGCGCGCGCAGGCGGGAUAUCAAGUCUGUCUUAAAAGUGCGAGGCUCAACCUCGUGAGGGGACAGAAACUGGUAUUCUUGAGUGUCGGAGAGGAAAGUGGAAUUCCAAGUGUAGCGGUGAAAUGCGUAGAGAUUUGGAAGAACACCAGUGGCGAAGGCGACACACUGGCUCAUUACUGACGCUGAGGCGCGAAAGCGUGGGGAGCAAACAGGAUUAGAUACCCCUGUAGUCC
This 450-nucleotide ribosomal RNA is filed under the name uncultured bacterium. RNAcentral describes it as "partial 16S ribosomal RNA". It matches the Rfam family "Bacterial small subunit ribosomal RNA", at positions 354 to 796 of the family's 1533-position model. The record is from RNAcentral.